This 940-nucleotide ribosomal RNA is filed under the name Pseudobiceros caribbensis. RNAcentral's name for it is "eukaryotic LSU rRNA". It matches the Rfam family "Eukaryotic large subunit ribosomal RNA", at positions 101 to 835 of the family's 3401-position model. Lineage: Eukaryota; Metazoa; Platyhelminthes; Polycladida; Pseudocerotidae. The record is from RNAcentral.
GGAAGAGCCCAGCACCGAAUCCUUCACCAUCUCGGUGACAGGAAAUGUGGUGUUUAGGCCGUACCUUGUCCCGAUACGUCUCUCCUCAAGUCCACUUGAUUGUGGCCCCAGGCCCAGAGAGGGUGUAAGGCCCGUGGAGGCGAGACGUUCGGUACCCGGUGCGUCCUUAGAGUCGGGUUGUUUGGGAAUGCAGCCCUAAGCGGGUGGUAAACUCCAUCCAAGGCUAAAUACCAGCACGAGUCCGAUAGCGAAGAAGUACCGCGAGGGAAGGUUGAAAAGAACUUUGAAGAGAGAGUUCAAGAGUACGUGAAACCGCUGAGAGGCAAACUGGUGGAACUGAAAUGGUCCCGAGGAAUUCAGCCGUUGGUGGGGACACAGUCUUUGGUGCUUGAUUUAACGACAACGCCUUUGACUGACGUGUCUAUCAUCGGUGCACUUUCCUCGUUAUGGGCCCGACCACGACCGGUGAGCUGAUCUGUCUGUCGUGCUUGGAAGAUAGCGCCGUCUUCGGAAGGCGUGUUAUAGACUUGCAUACGGAGCAGUCGGCGCACUGGAUGAUAGUGCCUGCCCAUUGGGCUCAUAUGGUGGUUGUUUUGACGGCGAGUUCUGAUGUCACUACUUCGGUAAAGUCGUUAGACUGUGUUGGCCUUAUGACUGUCCUCUAUGAUUGGCACUGGUAAGUCUGUGGUUGUGAAGUAGGUAGUCCUGAAGUAGGUAGUCCACCUGACCCGUCUUGAAACACGGACCAAGGAGUCUAACAUGUGCGCGAGUCAUUGGGUUCACGAAACCUAAAGGCGCAGUGAAGGUAAAGAUCUGUUUUGGCAGAUUGAGGUGGGAUGCUGGGUUACGCGCCCAGCCGCACUACCGGCCCGUUCUAUAUGUAUCUCAUAGGAGCGGAGCAAGAGCGUACACGUUGGGACCCGAAAGAUGGUGAACUAUG